RNAcentral lists this ribosomal RNA (465 nucleotides) under Vreelandella stevensii. RNAcentral's name for it is "partial 16S ribosomal RNA". It matches the Rfam family "Bacterial small subunit ribosomal RNA", at positions 338 to 795 of the family's 1533-position model. The record is from RNAcentral. Lineage: Bacteria; Pseudomonadati; Pseudomonadota; Gammaproteobacteria; Oceanospirillales; Halomonadaceae.
CCUACGGGAGGCUGCAGUGGGGAAUAUUGGACAAUGGGCGAAAGCCUGAUCCAGCCAUGCCGCGUGUGUGAAGAAGGCCUUCGGGUUGUAAAGCACUUUCAGUGGGGAAGAAAGCCUUGGGGCUAAUACCCUCGAGGAAGGACAUCACCCACAGAAGAAGCACCGGCUAACUCCGUGCCAGCAGCCGCGGUAAUACUGAGGGUGCGAGCGUUAAUCGGAAUUACUGGGCGUAAAGCGCGCGUAGGCGGUCUGAUAAGCCGGUUGUGAAAGCCCCGGGCUCAACCUGGGAACGGCAUCCGGAACUGUCAGGCUAGAGUGCAGGAGAGGAAGGUAGAAUUCCCGGUGUAGCGGUGAAAUGCGUAGAGAUCGGGAGGAAUACCAGUGGCGAAGGCGGCCUUCUGGACUGACACUGACGCUGAGGUGCGAAAGCGUGGGUAGCAAACAGGAUUAGAUACCCGAGUAGUC